RNAcentral lists this ribosomal RNA (1398 nucleotides) under Lactobacillus sp. RNAcentral describes it as "bacterial SSU rRNA". It matches the Rfam family "Bacterial small subunit ribosomal RNA", at positions 46 to 1410 of the family's 1533-position model. Lineage: Bacteria; Bacillati; Bacillota; Bacilli; Lactobacillales; Lactobacillaceae. The record is from RNAcentral.
GCCUAAUACAUGCAAGUCGAACGAACUCUGGUAUUGAUUGGUGCUUGCAUCAUGAUUUACAUUUGAGUGAGUGGCGAACUGGUGAGUAACACGUGGGAAACCUGCCCAGAAGCGGGGGAUAACACCUGGAAACAGAUGCUAAUACCGCAUAACAACUUGGACCGCAUGGUCCGAGCUUGAAAGAUGGCUUCGGCUAUCACUUUUGGAUGGUCCCGCGGCGUAUUAGCUAGAUGGUGGGGUAACGGCUCACCAUGGCAAUGAUACGUAGCCGACCUGAGAGGGUAAUCGGCCACAUUGGGACUGAGACACGGCCCAAACUCCUACGGGAGGCAGCAGUAGGGAAUCUUCCACAAUGGACGAAAGUCUGAUGGAGCAACGCCGCGUGAGUGAAGAAGGGUUUCGGCUCGUAAAACUCUGUUGUUAAAGAAGAACAUAUCUGAGAGUAACUGUUCAGGUAUUGACGGUAUUUAACCAGAAAGCCACGGCUAACUACGUGCCAGCAGCCGCGGUAAUACGUAGGUGGCAAGCGUUGUCCGGAUUUAUUGGGCGUAAAGCGAGCGCAGGCGGUUUUUUAAGUCUGAUGUGAAAGCCUUCGGCUCAACCGAAGAAGUGCAUCGGAAACUGGGAAACUUGAGUGCAGAAGAGGACAGUGGAACUCCAUGUGUAGCGGUGAAAUGCGUAGAUAUAUGGAAGAACACCAGUGGCGAAGGCGGCUGUCUGGUCUGUAACUGACGCUGAGGCUCGAAAGUAUGGGUAGCAAACAGGAUUAGAUACCCUGGUAGUCCAUACCGUAAACGAUGAAUGCUAAGUGUUGGAGGGUUUCCGCCCUUCAGUGCUGCAGCUAACGCAUUAAGCAUUCCGCCUGGGGAGUACGGCCGCAAGGCUGAAACUCAAAGGAAUUGACGGGGGCCCGCACAAGCGGUGGAGCAUGUGGUUUAAUUCGAAGCUACGCGAAGAACCUUACCAGGUCUUGACAUACUAUGCAAAUCUAAGAGAUUAGACGUUCCCUUCGGGGACAUGGAUACAGGUGGUGCAUGGUUGUCGUCAGCUCGUGUCGUGAGAUGUUGGGUUAAGUCCCGCAACGAGCGCAACCCUUAUUAUCAGUUGCCAGCAUUAAGUUGGGCACUCUGGUGAGACUGCCGGUGACAAACCGGAGGAAGGUGGGGAUGACGUCAAAUCAUCAUGCCCCUUAUGACCUGGGCUACACACGUGCUACAAUGGAUGGUACAACGAGUUGCGAACUCGCGAGAGUAAGCUAAUCUCUUAAAGCCAUUCUCAGUUCGGAUUGUAGGCUGCAACUCGCCUACAUGAAGUCGGAAUCGCUAGUAAUCGCGGAUCAGCAUGCCGCGGUGAAUACGUUCCCGGGCCUUGUACACACCGCCCGUCACACCAUGAGAG